RNAcentral lists this ribosomal RNA (202 nucleotides) under uncultured bacterium. RNAcentral describes it as "partial 16S ribosomal RNA". It matches the Rfam family "Bacterial small subunit ribosomal RNA", at positions 293 to 507 of the family's 1533-position model. The record is from RNAcentral.
UGAGAGGGCGACCGGCCACACUGGGACUGAGACACGGCCCAGACUCCUACGGGAGGCAGCAGUGGGGAAUAUUGCACAAUGGGCGCAAGCCUGAUGCAGCGACGCCGCGUGAGGGAUGACGGCCUUCGGGUUGUAAACCUCUUUCAGCAGGGAAGAAGCGCGAGUGACGGUACCUGCAGAAGAAGCACCGGCUAACUACGUG